GUUCUCUCUGGAGAAACAUAUAUAAGAAUUGGAACGAUACAGAGAAGAUUAGCAUGGCCCCUGCGCAAGG
RNAcentral lists this small nuclear RNA (70 nucleotides) under Clytia hemisphaerica. Lineage: Eukaryota; Metazoa; Cnidaria; Hydrozoa; Leptothecata; Clytiidae. The record is from RNAcentral.